GACGAACGCUGGCGGCGUGCCUAACACAUGCAAGUCGAACGGGGUAAUGACUUCGGUUAUUACUUAGUGGCGAACGGGUGAGUAACGCGUGAGAAACCUGCCUUUCAGUGGGGGACAACAGUUGGAAACGACUGCUAAUACCGCAUAAUGUUAUUUGGGGGCAUCCCCGGGUAACCAAAGAUUUAUCGCUGAAAGAUGGCCUCGCGUCUGAUUAGCUGGUUGGUGAGGUAACGGCCCACCAAGGCGACGAUCAGUAGCCGGUCUGAGAGGAUGAACGGCCACAUUGGGACUGAGAUACGGCCCAGACUCCUACGGGAGGCAGCAGUGGGGAAUAUUGGGCAAUGGGGGAAACCCUGACCCAGCAACGCCGCGUGAAGGAAGAAGGCCCUCGGGUUGUAAACUUCUUUUAGCAGGGACGAAGAAAUGACGGUACCUGCAGAAAAAGCAACGGCUAACUACGUG
Molecule: ribosomal RNA, 462 nt
Filed under: uncultured bacterium
Lineage: Bacteria
Description: bacterial SSU rRNA
Rfam family: Bacterial small subunit ribosomal RNA
Source: RNAcentral